CUCUAGUGGUCUCCGGGCAUGUUUCCUGCGGCUGUUGCAUCACGGGAAAGCUCCUAAUUCCUGCCUGGGCCCAGCACAUUCCUGCCUGGGGGGCCGCUGACCGAGCUCGGCAAUGGUUUGUUCUCCGAUGGGGAGGCAGGGCCUCCUGCUUGGCCAAGGCCCCGCCUCCCACGAAAUGCCUGCAGGUCCUGAAGCCUGGCCCACUUCACCCCCAUUACUCGAUGGCCCCGUGGGCGUUUUCACCAGAGACACCUGAAACGUAACAUGCCAACGUCAUUAAUGAGUCACAGGAAAGGAGAAAAGCCGGCUUUCUACUGUAUCAUAGUUGUUUUCAGCGUUGGCCCCGCUAUCUCGCGUCGCAUCCGUUCCUCCCGCGAUCCGGGACUUGUUUGACGAGUCCGGUGAUGUGGCUCCAGGGCUAAUGGAACAGAAGGCGCGAGUGGAAAAUGCCGCCGCUGUUCGGGCGAUUGGCGAUCUAGGAACCAAGGAGAGAGAGGCAAACCAGCCUCCAAGAAAUCCAUCCGCCCAGGUCCUCCCGGUUCUGCAUAAUAUUUUGAGGGAAGACACAGUUCUGAGGCUCAAAGGAAAAUGAAAACCACUUUGCCAACUGAUCUCGGAGGCCUUCCAGCGCUCACAUCCCAGCAGCCCGGGGAGAUGAUGGUCUGUGUUUCCUAGUCCUUCGGCCUCUUGCAAAUGAUUCCGGCACCAAAGAGAAACCACACCCAGACGCCUGUCUGCAUGCUGCCUGCUGGGGGGACCAGAUGGCUGUCCCCUCCACCACCCACCCCCCUGAUGGGAAAAGCUCUCCCUCCGAGUGUGAGACCCAUCACAAAGAAAGGGCUUUCUUCUUUGCCAGGACCUCACCCUCCACUGCCUCAGAGAGAGCAUCUUCCCUUUGGCCUUUCCUGUUCACGUUCCCCUUAGAAAAUCCAGCGGCCUUGCGGUAAGACGGGGCAUGGUUUUCCCUCUUGGCUAAAUAGUUUCAUGUGCCGUC
This is a long non-coding RNA of Neofelis nebulosa (Clouded leopard), 994 nucleotides long. RefSeq lists it as uncharacterized. The transcript has 2 exons. Lineage: Eukaryota; Metazoa; Chordata; Mammalia; Carnivora; Felidae. The record is from RefSeq and is a predicted model, not a curated record.